This 225-nucleotide ribosomal RNA is filed under the name Escherichia coli. RNAcentral describes it as "partial 23S ribosomal RNA". It matches the Rfam family "Bacterial large subunit ribosomal RNA", at positions 505 to 732 of the family's 2925-position model. The record is from RNAcentral. Lineage: Bacteria; Pseudomonadati; Pseudomonadota; Gammaproteobacteria; Enterobacterales; Enterobacteriaceae. RNAcentral also lists the same sequence under 1 other name.
GAGGGAAAGGCGAAAAGAACCCCGGCGAGGGGAGUGAAAAAGAACCUGAAACCGUGUACGUACAAGCAGUAGGAGCCUCUUUAUGGGGUGACUGCGUACCUUUUGUAUAAUGGGUCAGCGACUUAUAUUCUGUAGCAAGGUUAACCGUAUAGGGGAGCCGUAGGGAAACCGAGUCUUAACUGGGCGAAUGAGUUGCAGGGUAUAGACCCGAAACCCGGUGAUCUA